This 765-nucleotide ribosomal RNA is filed under the name uncultured Streptococcus sp. RNAcentral's name for it is "bacterial SSU rRNA". It matches the Rfam family "Bacterial small subunit ribosomal RNA", at positions 28 to 776 of the family's 1533-position model. The record is from RNAcentral. Lineage: Bacteria; Bacillati; Bacillota; Bacilli; Lactobacillales; Streptococcaceae.
GACUAACGCUGGCGGCGUGCCUAAUACAUGCAAGUAGAACGCUGAAGAGAGGAGCUUGCUCUUCUUGGAAGAGUUGCGAACGGGUGAGUAACGCGUAGGUAACCUGCCUUGUAGCGGGGGAUAACUAUUGGAAACGAUAGCUAAUACCGCAUAACAAUGGGUGACCCAUGUCAUUCAUUUGAAAGGGGCAACUGCUCCACUACAAGAUGGACCUGCGUUGUAUUAGCUAGUAGGUGAGGUAACGGCUCACCUAGGCGACGAUACAUAGCCGACCUGAGAGGGUGAUCGGCCACACUGGGACUGAGACACGGCCCAGACUCCUACGGGAGGCAGCAGUAGGGAAUCUUCGGCAAUGGGGGCAGCCCUGACCGAGCAACGCCGCGUGAGUGAAGAAGGUUUUCGGAUCGUAAAGCUCUGUUGUAAGUCAAGAACGAGUGUGAGAGUGGAAAGUUCACACUGUGACGGUAGCUUACCAGAAAGGGACGGCUAACUACGUGCCAGCAGCCGCGGUAAUACGUAGGUCCCGAGCGUUGUCCGGAUUUAUUGGGCGUAAAGCGAGCGCAGGCGGUUUGAUAAGUCUGAAGUUAAAGGCUGUGGCUCAACCAUAGUUCGCUUUGGAAACUGUCAAACUUGAGUGCAGAAGGGGAGAGUGGAAUUCCAUGUGUAGCGGUGAAAUGCGUAGAUAUAUGGAGGAACACCGGUGGCGAAAGCGGCUCUCUGGUCUGUAACUGACGCUGAGGCUCGAAAGCGUGGGGAGCGAACAGG